Molecule: ribosomal RNA, 429 nt
Filed under: uncultured bacterium
Lineage: Bacteria
Description: bacterial SSU rRNA
Rfam family: Bacterial small subunit ribosomal RNA
Source: RNAcentral
UGGGGAAUAUUGGACAAUGGGCGCAAGCCUGAUCCAGCAAUGCCGCGUGUGUGAAGAAGGCCUGCGGGUUGUAAAGCACUUUUGUUCGGGAAGAAAUCAUGCUGGUUAAUACCUGGUAUGGAUGACGGUACCGAAAGAAUAAGCACCGGCUAACUUCGUGCCAGCAGCCGCGGUAAUACGAAGGGUGCAAGCGUUAAUCGGAAUUACUGGGCGUAAAGGGUGCGUAGGCGGCCUUUUAAGUCGGAUGUGAAAUCCCCGGGCUCAACCUGGGAAUGGCAUUCGAUACUGGGAGGCUAGAGUUUGGGAGAGGGUGGUGGAAUUCCCGGUGUAGCGGUGAAAUGCGUAGAGAUCGGGAGGAACAUCAGUGGCGAAGGCGGCCACCUGGCCUAAAACUGACGCUGAGGCACGAAAGCGUGGGGAGCAAACAGG